This 399-nucleotide unclassified non-coding RNA is filed under the name Hevea brasiliensis (rubber tree). Lineage: Eukaryota; Viridiplantae; Streptophyta; Magnoliopsida; Malpighiales; Euphorbiaceae. The record is from RNAcentral.
UUAAUUAUAAGGAGCAGCUGCAGCUGCAGCUAUGCACACCACUUUCUUAUAUUAAUAUUUUGAGGUGCAAGUUAAUUAAUUUUGUCCUCCAUAAUACCAGUCUAGUUGAUCCCAAUCCCAAGAAGGUGGUUGAGUAUCAAUAGACAUAGGGAUGCUACUAGUUUCUCCUGUUUGAGGUGGAUUAUUUGUGGCAAGUUCUUCAGAGGAUGAACUCUCAGUUGAGUUUGGUCUCUCCAGCACCAUUGGAGGGUUUUGAAGAGAUGUUGUUGCCUCAUCACCUCGAAUAAUAGCAGCUGCUGCUUGAUGGCCUCUUAUGUCAUCAACUCCCAGUGGCCUUCUAUCAAAUGCUCGCGUGUUUUUUGAUUUCUUGUACACCCGACACAGGCUGAAUUCAUGCCU